This 707-nucleotide ribosomal RNA is filed under the name uncultured bacterium. RNAcentral's name for it is "bacterial SSU rRNA". It matches the Rfam family "Bacterial small subunit ribosomal RNA", at positions 59 to 764 of the family's 1533-position model. The record is from RNAcentral.
CAGUCGAACGAAGCACUUUAUUUGAUUUCCUUCGGGACUGAUUAUUUUGUCACUGAGUGGCGGACGGGUGAGUAACGCGUGGGUAACCUGCCUUGUACAGGGGGAUAACAGUUGGAAACGGCUGCUAAUACCGCAUAAGCGCACAGCAUCGCAUGAUGCAGUGUGAAAAACUCCGGUGGUAUAAGAUGGACCCGCGUUGGAUUAGCUAGUUGGUGAGGUAACGGCCCACCAAGGCGACGAUCCAUAGCCGACCUGAGAGGGUGACCGGCCACAUUGGGACUGAGACACGGCCCAAACUCCUACGGGAGGCAGCAGUGGGGAAUAUUGCACAAUGGGCGAAAGCCUGAUGCAGCGACGCCGCGUGAGCGAAGAAGUAUUUCGGUAUGUAAAGCUCUAUCAGCAGGGAAGAUAAUGACGGUACCUGACUAAGAAGCACCGGCUAAAUACGUGCCAGCAGCCGCGGUAAUACGUAUGGUGCAAGCGUUAUCCGGAUUUACUGGGUGUAAAGGGAGCGCAGGCGGUGCGGCAAGUCUGAUGUGAAAGCCCGGGGCUCAACCCCGGUACUGCAUUGGAAACUGUCGUACUAGAGUGUCGGAGGGGUAAGCGGAAUUCCUAGUGUAGCGGUGAAAUGCGUAGAUAUUAGGAGGAACACCAGUGGCGAAGGCGGCUUACUGGACGAUAACUGACGCUGAGGCUCGAAAGCGUGG